Tachysurus fulvidraco (yellow catfish) is the source of this 788-nucleotide long non-coding RNA. RefSeq lists it as uncharacterized. The record is from RefSeq and is a predicted model, not a curated record. Lineage: Eukaryota; Metazoa; Chordata; Actinopteri; Siluriformes; Bagridae. The transcript has 4 exons.
AUUGGGCUUCUUUCUUUCUUUGGGAAAAGAUAUGCUUUUAAGAUGUGUAGUUUUUUAUUUAACAUGUAGUGUAGUGAAAUCCCCAAAGUCUCCUCGUCAAUUCGCGCUCCAGCUCAAUAGGUGGCGCUAAAAUGCAGGCCCACCGCUAAAAGCACCAAACACCAACGAAGAAGAGCCGAAGCCGCGAUAUACGUGGAGUCGUAAAUGGCGGCGUGAAAAGGAGAAAGAGCGAGCCGCUGUAACAGAGUCGUGUCAUGAGGCUUUUUUCGCCCAGUGAUGACAUCGAAAGAAAUCCUGUCAGAAGUAAACAGGUAAAAAAAACAACAACACAAGGUUAAGGGAAUAAAGCUGGACUGGUUCUCUUACAUGAAGUUCAACAGAAAUGUGAGGAUCUGUCCAGAUCCCAGCUCUUCAGAUCACAAACCAGAGGGAAAUCCCCAAACCUCUAAAGCAAUUCUCUCGAAGACGGACUUCCUCUGUGAGGUCUGAAAAUUUCUUUUGUGAGAAAACUGAUGUUCAGUAACUUCACAGACAUCCAACAGAAGAAAAGAGGUUUGGGAGUGAGAAAGGGCUCUCGGAAUGAAAGAAACUGGGACGUGGUGGACUCGCCGCAAACGGGGUCAGGGAGUACUUCCUGUGUCGUGUCCAAAACUCGCUUCCUUUCCUCUGAAACGGGAGCGCUGAAAACAAUGGAGACCUGACGUACAAAAGAGAAGGAGGAAAAGUUCUCACAGCACCAAAGCACCUCAGUGAAUCUGUUGAAAUGUGAAAUUUUAAUGCAGAAUAAA